AUAUAAUCUUUAAUAAUAGACAAUUAAAUAUUUAAUAAAUAAAAAAAAAAAAAAAAAAAAGUAAAAUCAUUGCUUAAAUAUUAGUAUAAAUAUUAUUUUUAUAACUUGUGUAGUAAGUUAGUUAAUAAUUUUUGUAGUAGAAAUAUUUAUAAAAUUAGUUAAAUUUGUGCCAGCAUCUGCGGUUAGACUAGGAAUUUGAUUAAUAUUGUUUAGAGUUUAUAAUAAAAGGCAUUUAUAAAAUAAAUUUUGGUGGAAUAAUUUGUAGAGGUUUAUAAUUUAUUUAAUUAAUAUAAUUUUGAUAAAAGCAGGAUUAGAUACCCUGUUAUUUUAAUUUAAUUUUUUCUAAGGAUUAAUGUUAAAUUUAGAAGAUUUGGCGGCUGAGAUAAAUUAAAGGGGUUUGUUUUUUAUUUGAUGUGACUCAUUUUGUUUUACUUAUUUUAUUUAGUAUAUCGUCAUUUAGGUAGUUUAUAAUUAAUUAACUAUUGUAAGGUGUUUAAAAAAAUUAGAUCAAGGUGCAGAAAUAGAUAAGGAUAAAUUAACUACAAUAAAAUAUUAUUAAACUUGCUUUUUUUAAAUUAAAAAUGAAGGUGGAUUUAAUUGUAAUUAAAAUUAUAUGAAAUAUAUUUUAGUGUACAAAUUGCCCGUCAUUCUCUGUGAGACAAGUCGAAACAAAGUAGGACUAUCGGAAGUUGGGCCUA
RNAcentral lists this ribosomal RNA (698 nucleotides) under Pseudoniphargus sorbasiensis. Its description in RNAcentral is "s-rRNA". Lineage: Eukaryota; Metazoa; Arthropoda; Malacostraca; Amphipoda; Allocrangonyctidae. The record is from RNAcentral.